AGAGUUUGAUCCUGGCUCAGGAUGAACGCUAGCGGCAGGCUUAACACAUGCAAGUCGAGGGGCAGCAUGUCCAGCAAUGGAUGAUGGCGACCGGCGGAAGGGUGCGUAACGCGUGAGCAACAUGCCCUAUACAGGGAGAUACACCAGGGAAACUUGGUCUAAUAUCCCAUAGCAUUCAUUGAAGGCAUCUUUAAUGAAUUAAAGCUUCGGUGGUAUAGGAUUGGCUCGCGUGACAUUAGCCAGAUGGUGAGGUAACGGCUCACCAUAGCAAUGAUGUCUAGGGGUUUUGAGAGGAAGGCCCCCCACACUGGGACUGAGACACGGCCCAGACUCCUACGGGAGGCAGCAGUGAGGAAUAUUGGACAAUGGAUGGAAAUCUGAUCCAGCCAUGCCGCGUGCAGGAAGACGGCCUUAUGGGUUGUAAACUGCUUUUAUACGGGAGCAAUAAGGGUUACGAGUAAUCCGAUGAGAGUACUGUAUGAAUAAGGAUCGGCUAACUCCGUGCCAGCAGCCGCGGUAAUACGGAGGAUCCGAACGUUAUCCGGAAUUAUUGGGUUUAAAGGGUGCGUAGGCGGCCAUUUAAGUCAGCGGUGAAAUUUUGCAGCUUAACUGUAACAGUGCCGUUGAUACUGUUUGGCUAGGAUUUGGUUGUAGUGUGCGGAAUGUGUGGUGUAGCGGUGAAAUGCUUAGAUAUCACACAGAACACCGAUUGCGAAGGCAGCACACUAAGUCAUUAUUGACGCUGAGGCACGAAAGUGUGGGGAUCAAACAGGAUUAGAUACCCUGGUAGUCCACACUGUAAACGAUGAUAACUCGCUGUCGGCGAUACACAGUCGGGGCCAAGCGAAAGC
RNAcentral lists this ribosomal RNA (851 nucleotides) under uncultured bacterium. RNAcentral's name for it is "bacterial SSU rRNA". It matches the Rfam family "Bacterial small subunit ribosomal RNA", at positions 8 to 858 of the family's 1533-position model. The record is from RNAcentral.